UACGGAGGGUGCGAGCGUUGUCCGGAAUCACUGGGCGUAAAGGGCGCGUAGGUGGCCUGUGCAAGCGUGCGGUGAAAGCUCGGGGCUCAACCCCGAGUCGGCCGUGCGAACUGCUGGGCUCGAGCACUGUAGAGGCAGGCGGAAUUCCGGGUGUAGCGGUGGAAUGCGUAGAGAUCCGGAAGAACACCGGUGGCGAAGGCGGCCUGCUGGGCAGUGGCUGACACUGAGGCGCGACAGCGUGGGGAGCAAACAGG
RNAcentral lists this ribosomal RNA (254 nucleotides) under uncultured bacterium. RNAcentral describes it as "partial 16S ribosomal RNA". It matches the Rfam family "Bacterial small subunit ribosomal RNA", at positions 524 to 776 of the family's 1533-position model. The record is from RNAcentral.